This 800-nucleotide ribosomal RNA is filed under the name uncultured bacterium. RNAcentral describes it as "bacterial SSU rRNA". It matches the Rfam family "Bacterial small subunit ribosomal RNA", at positions 8 to 809 of the family's 1533-position model. The record is from RNAcentral.
AGAGUUUGAUCAUGGCUCAGGAUGAACGCUGGCGGCGUGCUUAACACAUGCAAGUCGAACGGAACUCUUUGGAUCGAGGCUUCGGCCAAGUGAAUCUGAGUUUAGUGGCGGACGGGUGAGUAACGCGUGAGGAACCUGCCUUUCAGAGGGGAAUAACAGUUGGAAACGACUGCUAAUACCGCAUAACGCAUAGGGACCGCAUGAUUCUUAUGCCAAAGAUUAUAUCGCUGAAAGAUGGCCUCGCGUCUGAUUAGCUUGUUGGCGGGGUAACGGCCCACCAAGGCGACGAUCAGUAGCCGGACUGAGAGGUUGGCCGGCCACAUUGGGACUGAGAUACGGCCCAGACUCCUACGGGAGGCAGCAGUGGGGAAUAUUGGGCAAUGGGCGCAAGCCUGACCCAGCAACGCCGCGUGAAGGAAGAAGGUCUUCGGAUUGUAAACUUCUUUUAACAGGGACGAUAAUGACGGUACCUGUUGAAUAAGCUCCGGCUAACUACGUGCCAGCAGCCGCGGUAAUACGUAGGGAGCGAGCGUUAUCCGGAUUUACUGGGUGUAAAGGGCGUGUAGGCGGGAUUGCAAGUCAGAUGUGAAAACUCCGGGCUCAACUCGGAGCCUGCAUUUGAAACUGUAGUUCUUGAGUGAUGGAGAGGCAAGCGGAAUUCCUAGUGUAGCGGUGAAAUGCGUAGAUAUUAGGAGGAACACCAGUGGCGAAGGCGGCUUGCUGGACAUUAACUGACGCUAAGGCGCGAAAGCGUGGGGAGCAAACAGGAUUAGAUACCCUGGUAGUCCACGCCGUAACGA